CAAAGUCAAAAACUCUGAGCUCCAGAACGAUCGGUUAGAAAUUCAACAUGCAGCUUUCCGUUGUCGUUUUCGGGCUUGUAGUGCUUGCCGCAGUGCUGGUAAAAUCAGGAGAUGCGAGGGCUUCACCUUCAAAAGAUGAGCUGCUGGAUGAAUUGACUGAGGAAUUACUGGCUAGAUAUGUGGAAAGAAGGAACCAAGAAAGAAAUCUGCAGAGCACCAACACACGAGGUCUUGUAGGUCCUGUGCGUCGUUGGUGGGGUGGGAGUUCUUCUUCACACACUACUAACACACAAAAUCUUGGACCUCAACAUACAGGCAAUAGUGGAUUCAUCGGCGGUAUAGGUGGUGAUUUCACAGGAGGUAAUAUUCAUAACAGCCAAGGAAGGAAAUAGGUAUAGAUCAACGGAUUGCAUGACGAAAGAAAAUGUUAAAAAGAAAAUGAAGAAAAGCGGUGAAAAUUUAAAUCCAUCAAAAUGACAAAACUAAAUCGACGUAAACUCAUUGUCAUAUGAUAUAAGAUGUUAUGUUAGCGUGAUACGAAAUAUACCAGGAUAAUUUUGGACUUGAUUUUGCUGAUUUGUUACCUUUUUUUUAUUCUAUUACAAUAAAUAUACUUUAUCAUAUUUCCUUGUUAUCUAAAGUUUUGCUUUUACUUAUCUUGAAGUAGUUAUAGUUUUGUACUAGGUUGCGACUUCAUACUUGAAUCACUAUACAUAAAAACGUGCGUCUUCUAAAGUUGUCCAAUCGCCUGCUACAGUUAAAUUUUACAAAUAAGGCUAGAUUGCUAUUUUCUGAAAUUUAACACCCCAGAUUCUAUAAAUUUACUUCAUGCAUGCGCACAUACACGUAUGAUAUCGCAACCUAUCUUAUGUAUGUAUAUAUGUUAUUUCAAUCUGCUGCUUCUUCGAUAUUAUAUUGAGUGUUUUCAUUUCCACCUUUACGAGACAUAUUCACAAAUUUGGUCAAGACAAGUUAAUUUCAACUGGCACUUGGUCGUACAUUAUAUCUUUUCAAAAAAUAGAAUAUCAAUAUACAAUAUUUUCAAGACGAUUAAAAUUUUGAAAAGAAAAAAUGAAACUCUAAAACGUUCGAUAAUUGUUUAUAUAAAUGUUAUGUUUCAAAAUGAAAGAUGUCAAAUUUUUCGUGUAUGAAGACAUUUUAUAUUUUUUACCAAAGUUGUGGACAAGUAAAUUCCAUGAGAUUUAAUAUUCUCCAAUUCUUUGCAAUUUACUUUAUAUCUAUUAAUAAUAUGUUCUACAUA
This is a long non-coding RNA of Mercenaria mercenaria, 1261 nucleotides long. RefSeq lists it as uncharacterized. NCBI's taxonomy places the organism in Eukaryota, Metazoa, Mollusca, Bivalvia, Venerida, Veneridae. The transcript has 3 exons. The record is from RefSeq and is a predicted model, not a curated record.